ACCUCAUUUCAGUGUGCUUCAGCUGCGCCUAACCGUGCCCACGAACGGGCAUCCCCCGGAUGGCACCCCGCUGAACGUGGCACCGCCCCCGUGAGGUGUGGGGAAGCGACCCUGGGCUGCUGAGGCACAGCAGCGUCUCUGCGAGCAGACCGGGGCGGCUGGCUGGGACAUCUGUUUCUCCUCAACCUGUAACACAAGGAGGAGGUUGAACUGGAGCCACUGCCGCCCUGUGCCUGCGCCCCGCUUCCUUUGCUCCUGGACAUUUCUUGCUCGACUGCUGGGGUCUCUUCACCUCUCUUCAUCACAACACCGAGAGAGGAGGAGGAGGAAGGGAGAGAAAGGGAAAACUAAAAACCCUGAAGGAUGGUUCUCAAAAAUUCUAGCGGAACCAGGGGGAAUUCCUCGGAGAGCGGGAGCCAGCCGGCGGAGGUCUGUGCUCGUGCACAGCUAUUCUAGAGCGAGGGAAGCUGCCGCAGAACUUCAGUGCUGCGUGCGAUGCCUGCCAGCAGCCGCGGUGCCGUAAAUGACCACUCACAGGUCUGCAGAACGUCACUAACAUUAAUUCACUGAAAAAAAAAAAAAAGCAAAGCACCUCUAUUAGUUUUUCUUAGGUAUUACCAGGGACUUUAAAAGGAUAUACUAAUGGGAUAACUGUAUUCACUAGAUUAAUAAAUAAAUAGAAAAUCCCUAAUUCUUUCAAGGGGUGGGGCUGGGGAAAGUGGAUGAAAGUGACUCACAGUUAACCGAAUAAAAAUCCUGCGUUGAAAUUGCCUGAUUGAUCGUACUGUAGUGCACUAAGAGACAACAAGACAAAGUCGAGGAGGGAAAAGGCAGGAGCAUCAAGAGAAGUGCAGUAUAACCCUAUUACGGCAAUCCGCAGGGUAGAUCCACCUGUCCGUAUGGCCCGGUUCCUAAACAAUGGCCAGGCCGCCACCUCUUGCAUUUCUGUGCCACUGAAGCACCGUGUUU
RNAcentral lists this long non-coding RNA (969 nucleotides) under Cairina moschata (Muscovy duck). RNAcentral's name for it is "domestica (muscovy Duck (domestic type)) lncRNA (ENSCMMG00000008379.1)". Lineage: Eukaryota; Metazoa; Chordata; Aves; Anseriformes; Anatidae. The record is from RNAcentral.